UACGGAGGAUGCGAGCGUUAUCCGGAUUUAUUGGGUUUAAAGGGUGCGCAGGCGGCACGGCAAGCCGGCGGUCAAAUCGCGGGGCUCAACCCCGCCCAGCCGUCGGAACUGCCGGGCUAGAGUGUGCGAGAAGUGCGCGGAAUGCGUGGUGUAGCGGUGAAAUGCAUAGAUAUCACGCAGAACUCCGAUUGCGAAGGCAGCGCACCGGCGCCCUACUGACGCUCAGGCACGAAAGCGUGGGUAUCGAACAGG
RNAcentral lists this ribosomal RNA (252 nucleotides) under uncultured bacterium. RNAcentral's name for it is "partial 16S ribosomal RNA". It matches the Rfam family "Bacterial small subunit ribosomal RNA", at positions 524 to 776 of the family's 1533-position model. The record is from RNAcentral.